AUGGCUGAAUUGUAGGCAAUAAAUUGUAAAUUUAUUUAUGAAUUAAUUUCUUUUACCA
This 58-nucleotide transfer RNA is filed under the name Chalcophana sp. N69. Its description in RNAcentral is "tRNA-Tyr". The record is from RNAcentral. Lineage: Eukaryota; Metazoa; Arthropoda; Insecta; Coleoptera; Chrysomelidae.